CUUGACAUCCAGAGAAUUUAGCAGAGAUGCUUUAGUGCCUUCGGGAACUCUGAGACAGGUGCUGCAUGGCUGUCGUCAGCUCGUGUUGUGAAAUGUUGGGUUAACGUCCGCAACGAGCGCAACCCUUAUCCUUUGUUGCCAGCACGUAAUGGUGGGAAACUCAAAGGAGACUGCCGGUGAUAAACCGGAGGAAGGUGGGGAUGACGUCAAGUCAUCAUGGCCCUUACGAGUAGGGCUACACACGUGCUACAAUGGCGUAUACAAAGAGAAGCGACCUCGCGAGAGCAAGCGGACCUCAUAAAGUGCGUCGUAGUCCGGAUUGGAGUCUGCAACUCGACUCCAUGAAGUCGGAAUCGCUAGUAAUCGUAAAUCAGAAUGUUACGGUGAAUACGUUCCCGGGCCUUGUACACACCGCCCGUCACACCAUGGGAGUGGGUUGCAAAAGAAGUAGAUAGCUUAACCUUCGGGAGGGCGUUUACCACUUUGUGAUUCAUGACUGGGGUGAAGUCGUAACAAGGUAGGCGUAGUGCU
Molecule: ribosomal RNA, 531 nt
Filed under: uncultured bacterium
Lineage: Bacteria
Description: bacterial SSU rRNA
Rfam family: Bacterial small subunit ribosomal RNA
Source: RNAcentral